Molecule: ribosomal RNA, 300 nt
Filed under: Albidovulum sp.
Lineage: Bacteria; Pseudomonadati; Pseudomonadota; Alphaproteobacteria; Rhodobacterales; Paracoccaceae
Description: partial 16S ribosomal RNA
Rfam family: Bacterial small subunit ribosomal RNA
Source: RNAcentral
CAACUUGAGAGUUUGAUCCUGGCUCAGAACGAACGCUGGCGGCAGGCUUAACACAUGCAAGUCGAGCGAAGUCUUCGGACUUAGCGGCGGACGGGUGAGUAACGCGUGGGAACGUGCCCUUCGGUACGGAAUAGCCCAGGGAAACUUGGAUUAAUACCGUAUACGCCCUGCGGGGGAAAGAUUUAUCGCCGAGGGAUCGGCCCGCGUCUGAUUAGGUUGUUGGUGGGGUAACGGCCCACCAAGCCGACGAUCAGUAGCUGGUUUGAGAGGAUGAUCAGCCACACUGGGACUGAGACACGG